This 1115-nucleotide ribosomal RNA is filed under the name human gut metagenome. Its description in RNAcentral is "bacterial LSU rRNA". It matches the Rfam family "Bacterial large subunit ribosomal RNA", at positions 1805 to 2925 of the family's 2925-position model. The record is from RNAcentral.
UACCAAAAACACAGGUUUGUGCUAAAUCGAAAGAUGACGUAUACGAGCUGACGCCUGCCCGGUGCUGGAAGGUUAAAAGGAGAUGUGCAAGCAUUGAAUUGAAGCCCCAGUGAACGGCGGCCGUAACUAUAACGGUCCUAAGGUAGCGAAAUUCCUUGUCAGGUAAGUUCUGACCCGCAUGAAAGGCGUAAUGAUCUGGGCACUGUCUCAACAGCCCGCCCGGCGAAAUUGUAGUACCGGUGAAGAUGCCGGUUACCCGCGACAAGACGGAAAGACCCCAUGGAGCUUUACUGUAGCCUGAUAUUGGGUUUCGGUGUUGCAUGCACAGGAUAGAUGGGACGCUGGGAAAGAAGCGCUUUGGCGUUUCUGGAGCGGACGUUGGGAUACCAUCCUUGCGACAUUGGAAUUCUAACCUGCGCCUCUGAAUCGAGGCGGGGGACAUUGUCAGGUGGGCAGUUUGACUGGGGCGGUCGCCUCCUAAAAAGUAGCGGAGGCGUUCAAAGGUUCGUUCGAUCUGGACGGAAACCAGAUGAUUGAGUGCAAACGCAUAAACGAGCCUGACUGCGAGACUGACGGGUCGAGCAGAGACGAAAGUCGGAGUUAGUGAUCCGGUGGUAUGUGAGUGGAAAUGCCAUCGCUCAACGGAUAAAAGUUACCCUGGGGAUAACAGGCUGAUCUCCCCCAAGAGUCCACAUCGACGGGGAGGUUUGGCACCUCGAUGUCGGCUCAUCGCAUCCUGGGGCUGAAUUCGGUCCCAAGGGUUUGGCUGUUCGCCAAUUAAAGCGGUACGCGAGCUGGGUUCAGAACGUCGUGAGACAGUUCGGUCCCUAUCUGUCGUGGGCGCAGGAUAUUUGAAAGGCGCUGUCCCUAGUACGAGAGGACCGGGAUGGACGAACCUCUGGUGCACCAGUUGUCACGCCAGUGGCACAGCUGGGCAGCUAUGUUCGGAUCGGAUAAACGCUGAAAGCAUCUAAGCGUGAAGCCGGCCUUAAGAUAAGAUAUCCCACUGAGUCAAUCAGGUAAGACCCCUUGAAGACUACAAGGUUGAUAGGCACACAGUGUAAGCGGAGUGAUCCGUUCAGCUAGCGUGUACUAAUAGGUCGAGGGCUUGACCC